GACGAACGCUGGCGGCGUGCUUAACACAUGCAAGUCGAACGGAAAGGCCCUGCUUUUGUGGGUUGCUCGAGUGGCGAACGGGUGAGUAACACGUGAGUAACCUGCCCUUGUCUUUGGGAUAACUUCAGGAAACUGGGGCUAAUACCGGAUAGGAUCUCCUGCUGCAUGGUGUGGGUUGGAAAGUUUCGGCGGUUGGGGAUGGACUCGCGGCUUAUCAGCUUGUUGGUGGGGUAGUUGCUUACCAAGGCUUUGACGGGUAGCCGGCCUGAGAGGGUGACCGGCAACAUUGGGACUGAGAUACGGAGCAGAAUCCUACGGGAGGCAGCAGUGGGGAAUAUUGCACAAUGGGCGGAAGCCUGAUGCAGCAACGCCGCGUGCGGGAUGACGGCCUUCGGGUUGUAAACCGAUUUCGCAUGUGACGAAGCGUGAGUGACGGUAAUGGGUAAAGAAGCACCGGCUAACUACGUG
RNAcentral lists this ribosomal RNA (468 nucleotides) under uncultured bacterium. Its description in RNAcentral is "partial 16S ribosomal RNA". It matches the Rfam family "Bacterial small subunit ribosomal RNA", at positions 28 to 507 of the family's 1533-position model. The record is from RNAcentral.